GGAGGGGUACCCGAGUGGCCAAAGGGGGCAGACUGUAAAUCUGCUGGCGACGCCUUCGCUGGUUCGAAUCCAGCCCCCUCCACCA
RNAcentral lists this transfer RNA (85 nucleotides) under Ammonifex sp. RNAcentral's name for it is "tRNA-Tyr". It matches the Rfam family "tRNA". Rfam says of the family: Transfer RNA (tRNA) molecules are approximately 80 nucleotides in length. Their secondary structure includes four short double-helical elements and three loops (D, anti-codon, and T loops). Further hydrogen bonds mediate the characteristic L-shaped molecular structure. tRNAs have two regions of fundamental functional importance: the anti-codon, which is responsible for specific mRNA codon recognition, and the 3' end, to which the tRNAs corresponding amino acid is attached (by aminoacyl-tRNA synthetases). tRNAs cope with the degeneracy of the genetic code in two manners: having more than one tRNA (with a specific anti-codon) for a particular amino acid; and 'wobble' base-pairing, i.e. permitting non-standard base-pairing at the 3rd anti-codon position. The record is from RNAcentral. Lineage: Bacteria; Bacillati; Bacillota; Clostridia; Thermoanaerobacterales; Thermoanaerobacteraceae. RNAcentral also lists the same sequence under 1 other name.